AUCACUUCUCAGCCUUUUGGCUAAGAUCAAGUGUAGUAUCUGUUCUUACCAGAAAACAAAGGAAAUAAAAUGUUAUGCUCAGAAGCCAGUCCUCUAACUUUUAACUUAGUUCAAGCAACCCCAGACUUCUUUUUUUUUUUGAGACUGAGUUUUGCUCUUAUUACCCAGGCUGGAGUGCAAUGGCGCGAUCUCG
Molecule: small nuclear RNA, 193 nt
Organism: Callithrix jacchus (white-tufted-ear marmoset)
Lineage: Eukaryota; Metazoa; Chordata; Mammalia; Primates; Cebidae
Gene: U2
Rfam family: U2 spliceosomal RNA
About the family: U2 is a small nuclear RNA (snRNA) component of the spliceosome (involved in pre-mRNA splicing). Complementary binding between U2 snRNA (in an area lying towards the 5' end but 3' to hairpin I) and the branchpoint sequence (BPS) of the intron results the bulging out of an unpaired adenosine, on the BPS, which initiates a nucleophilic attack at the intronic 5' splice site, thus starting the first of two transesterification reactions that mediate splicing.
Source: Ensembl